This is a long non-coding RNA of Oncorhynchus tshawytscha (Chinook salmon), 1408 nucleotides long. NCBI's taxonomy places the organism in Eukaryota, Metazoa, Chordata, Actinopteri, Salmoniformes, Salmonidae. The record is from Ensembl.
UUCCAAUCUGUUGUGGACAUCCAUUGAAAUGCAGUACAUCUGGCGCAAUGUAACAGAGUGCUUAUGGGCUGCAAUCCACUCCCAGUUAAGCGGGGUCCGGUCAGGCCUCCGUCAGCUCCAAAAUGCCCUGGGGGAUGUGAUGGACAUCCAGAACUUUCUUUCUGGUAGAAGUCAGCAAUAACUGGAGGCAAAACAUUAACACCAUUGAGAACCUGAAUGCCUGAGUUGGUGGCAGGACACUCCAUUAAUGAUAGAGCAAGCCGAGCUGUUGAAGGGCCACCACAAGCUGAUGAACCUGGAGUGCUCAUGGAAUGACUUCAUGUACGAUCAGUACAGGAUGGGCAGCAAGAACACACACAACAUGAACCUCAAUCCAACAAGAUUGUGUCCCUCCUCACCUGGGUCCUCAAUUAAAGGGAAACUUCACUGCUAGCCACUAUCUCCCUACAUCAUUUUAAGUGAUGAGAGGGUGUUCCUGACAUAAUUAUGCAGCAUAGAGGUAUUUUUGAAUUUUCGCAACGGCCUUUGUGUUACGCCGAUUGUACAAUCACACUAGCAGUGAGUAGAUAUGGUUGUCCUUGUUCAAUAGAGCCAUUGGACUUGUCUCAACGAUGUUCCUAUCUGACACAACAUUGCAGGAUAUCUAGGUUGACUCAUGUUCUCUGGCUUUUUUUAAUGUUCUUUUACAUACUAACAUAGGGACAUACUGCCCUAUUAAUUUGAGCCGAAAUACAGUGAAGAGGAGUUGAGACGGCGAGAACAAGAAUUGCGAGGCCAGCAAGCAGCGAUGGGGAGCCACGGGCAGACUUUGACCAGCGGUGCCUAUGUGGGUGCUGUCCAGCCACGCCGACAGAAGAGAAAUGUCUGUGCUGCAACUAAUUAGAUUGUGGACGGUUCAUACUGGAGAUGGUCACUGCAGACCCCAUGGAUUGUGUGUCUGAUACAGACCAUCAAAGUUUUGACGCAGAUAUGGAUAGAAGUGUGCUGGAGACAUUUUUCAGAACCUCCAAGAUCAAAUGGCGGCGGCAGCCUAGACCAGCGGGGUAACAAUACUGCUUGGUGAAAGAUUAUAUUUGGAGAUGGUUAUCGGUGUCGGAGAAGCUAGGCACAGAACACUGAAUUCCCUGAAAACAUUUCCGGCACCUACUUCAGUCCAAGUCAAGCACUGGUCUAACUGAAUGUGGAUGUUGUGUUGCCUGAAUGUUCCAGGCACAAUCCAGAAUGUUCUUCUGCUGGUGAACCUUGUCUUGUGUUGUGCAAUGGCAGCUGGUCUGGCAGAAGUUCAUGAGCUCAAUGACCUUGGACUCAUCGACUCAUAGAUUUCGGCUCUUGCCAGCCCCAUGCAGUCUUUUCCUCUUCCGAGUCAGAUGAUGUUGAGCUUGAGUUUUUUCCCGGAUUAAAGAUUUCA